Molecule: transfer RNA, 69 nt
Filed under: zebrafish metagenome
Rfam family: tRNA
About the family: Transfer RNA (tRNA) molecules are approximately 80 nucleotides in length. Their secondary structure includes four short double-helical elements and three loops (D, anti-codon, and T loops). Further hydrogen bonds mediate the characteristic L-shaped molecular structure. tRNAs have two regions of fundamental functional importance: the anti-codon, which is responsible for specific mRNA codon recognition, and the 3' end, to which the tRNAs corresponding amino acid is attached (by aminoacyl-tRNA synthetases). tRNAs cope with the degeneracy of the genetic code in two manners: having more than one tRNA (with a specific anti-codon) for a particular amino acid; and 'wobble' base-pairing, i.e. permitting non-standard base-pairing at the 3rd anti-codon position.
Source: RNAcentral
GAUGGUAGCUCAAUGGUAGAGCAGUUGACUUUUAAUCAAUUGGUUGUGGGUUCGAGUCCCACCCGUCCC